RNAcentral lists this ribosomal RNA (112 nucleotides) under Escherichia coli. Lineage: Bacteria; Pseudomonadati; Pseudomonadota; Gammaproteobacteria; Enterobacterales; Enterobacteriaceae. The record is from RNAcentral.
GCUGGCUUAGCGCGGGUGGUCCCACUGACCCCAUGCCGAACUCAGAAGUGAAACGCCGUAGCGCCGAUGGUAGUGUGGGGUCUCCCCAUGCGAGAGUAGGGAACUGCCAGGC